UUGAACGCUGGCGGCAUGCUUUACACAUGCAAGUCGAACGGUAACAGGCCGCAAGGUGCUGACGAGUGGCGAACGGGUGAGUAAUGCAUCGGAACGUGCCCAGUCGUGGGGGAUAACUACUCGAAAGAGUAGCUAAUACCGCAUACGAUCUAUGGAUGAAAGCGGGGGACCGUCAGGCCUCGCGCGAUUGGAGCGGCCGAUGUCAGAUUAGGUAGUUGGUGGGGUAAAGGCUCACCAAGCCAACGAUCUGUAGCUGGUCUGAGAGGACGACCAGCCACACUGGGACUGAGACACGGCCCAGACUCCUACGGGAGGCAGCAGUGGGGAAUUUUGGACAAUGGGCGCAAGCCUGAUCCAGCAAUGCCGCGUGCAGGAAGAAGGCCUUCGGGUUGUAAACUGCUUUUGUACGGAACGAAACGGCUCUGGUUAAUACCCGGGGCUAAUGACGGUACCGUAAGAAUAAGCACCGGCUAACUACGUG
Molecule: ribosomal RNA, 481 nt
Filed under: uncultured bacterium
Lineage: Bacteria
Description: partial 16S ribosomal RNA
Rfam family: Bacterial small subunit ribosomal RNA
Source: RNAcentral